CCCCCGCCUAGAGCACAGCCAGAGAACUCAGCCCCCGCUGCAGACCAGGAGCGCGAGGUGAGCUGGCUUCUUUCCAGGGGCCGGACCCAGGCAGAGUGACCACACUCUACCAGUCCAGGAGCUGUGAGCUGCGUGGAAAGAAUGUGAGUGAAGACACAAUUCUAAAUGUAGAACCACGGACGCUAUGUGAGCUGGCUCUCUAAUCAUCCAGAAAAACAAGGCCUGCGUGUACAUUCUGCAAGAGCAUAAAUAAAGUUGUCCUCAGGCAGCGGGCGACGGCAGCCCAUCCUCGCAGUGACUUCCCGGGUCCCAGCUCGCGGCACAACCCCUGGAACAUGGCGGGAGAGGCCCAGCGGCCUGAGGGCAUGGGUGAAAAUGGCCUCGCUCUUGCCCGGAUGCGCAUGGUUCUCCCUAACCUUCUUCUGCAGCAACCUGGCUCUGGUCUGCAUCGGGCUUAUUCAGAAAUGUUCAAAAGCUGAUAGUGGGGGCAACACAAGACCUCUUGUUAGGAGGGCUCAGCAGACUUCUCUUCACUAGCGUUCAUUUUUCUUUACAAGCUGUUUGGAUAAACUACAGGAUGGUGGAGCAUUUCCUGGGCUUAAUAAUAACAACAAAAUAAUAAAUGCUAGCUCAUACUUACCAACCUUUACUCGGUGCCCUGCACUGUCCUGAGUCUUUACCUAAAUUAACCUUGACGCUGUACACUCUUUAUCUUAGGGCCUGGCACCGUUUUGUUCUGGCCCCACAAAUUGCCACCUGUCAGGGAGCUAAGCAAAGACACGAUAAGGAAACCAGUAUUUCCUGAGCAUGCGUUAUGUGCCGGGCACUGCCUGUGGGUUCUUCUAUCGAAUCCUCACGCUAUCCCAGUGUGAUGUCUGUUCAUACCCCCCACUUUACAGAUGAGUAGACUGAGGCCUGCAGAGGUCCUGGAUGUCAUUCAGCUAACAGUGGUCCUGAGGAUGCUGAUGAAGAUUUGUCUGUCUGCCUGUCCAGUCUGUAUAUCUCUGUUGCACCCCCCACCUCCAACAAAAGCGUGCUCCCAGCCCAAGUCCAGGGAACAUGGCUGCCUUCCAUCCACCUGUUUUCCUUGCCUCUCCGUGGCAAGAGAGUAAAGUCUGGCCAGGGCACCUCCUUAGCUACUGAUUUGUUAUGGGAACUGAGGGGAUUCUGUACCUCAGUGUCGGCACAGUGAAAGCAUAUCCUCGGGGCUGAUGGCAGGAUGGGACGUCACUGUAGGGGACACUGCUGGAGCUCGGCCUCACAGGGCUGCUCACCUGCUGAGGGGCCAGAGCAAUCAGACCCCUCCCUUCCGAUGGACUUUCUCACCAGGAACUCUGAGUUGGCUCCUUUGUGAAGGGACUUUACAUGGUAAUGCGUGUCUGGUGCCUAGCUCAGAGGGGCCGGAUUUAUCGAGGUGGAGUGGGGACACCCUGCUUGUGGCUUGCAGCUGGAAAACGCCCCACUGACUGAGGUUGCUGGUACCUCUUCCCUAGGGCUGCUGCUCUCCUAGCCUCACUGGCCUGGUGCCAUAGUCAGCUGAGAGUCACCUGGGCCAAGGGCUUCAGAAUUCUUUGCUUCGGACUCUCCAGUGAAAGAUUUCAGCGCAAGAAAUAGAACCUGUGCUAGGAAACAAGCAAUUCCCAGGUGGUGCUUACCCUGCUGGCCCAAGGACCACCCCCUCGAGAAGAAAGAGCUGCUACUGGCCAAGCGAGGCCAAUGCCACUGCUGGGACAGGUGGCUCACUGGGAGCUGCUGUUUCAGAGAAGCUUCUCACUCAAGGUGAAGCUUUGUCCUCCCUGCAUCUCUGAGGUAGAUUUACAGGAUUUCUCAUUAAAAAAAGCAAGCAUUCCCUGAGCUGGAGCAGAAAAUGUAUAAGAAAGAGUCUGGAACCCUGUGUCACACUGAAGGGCAAGCAAGCAGAGGAAACCCCUCGGGAGGAUAUCAAAAGAACAGGGGCCAACUCGAAGAACUUCCCCACAGUUAAAAGUGGGAUGAUACAGUGUGUGAAAACACCAUGUGGGCUGAGACACAUUGAAACUGCUUGAGCCCAUGAGUACACAAUGAUACUGAAAAAAAAUAACAGCUCAAGCCUCUCUCCGUGGCCUGAUGUAAAAAGCAGCCUCUUUCUUUUGAAAAGGGGAACAGGGUUGAGUACCUCACCUGACUUUCCUGUGUGAACCAUACAAAACAGUUUAAGGAGCCAAGUGAUGGAUGAAGGAAAGUUUCUCUGAUACAGAAGGAAGGGUAGAACAAGAAUAUUAUCAGUUCCAAACUCCUGGCGAAACAGUGGGUCGAGAUGACAAUCACCAACGGGCCCCCGAUGAAAAUACACAUUACCCAUGAAGUAUUCUUGUCAAAAAACCAAGCCUAAAUCAGAACAAGUUCCUGACCCUGGAUUUCACUACCAGAUUAAAAGAAUAACAAGGACAAAAAAAUCAUGAAAUGACACCGUGAGGAAGCAAGGAGCAAAACUGGGGUAUGGACAACUCUACGGGACAAGUGACUGAUAUCUUUUCACAUAAACCAUUGAAGUUGAGGCAAGUGGGAUGACAUGAUUAAAAGACACCAAUUAAACACCACCUAUAGAUUCUGUUUGGAUCCUGAUUUCAACAAACCUAGCAAACACUUGUGAGACAACUUGAAAAAUUUGAGCACAGCCUGGGUAUUUGAUGAUACUCAGGGACCAUGGCUCCUGUUUUUAGGUGUGGUAAUGGUAUGUUCAAGAAAGAAUCUUUAUUAUUUAGCAAGAUCUACACUCAUACUUAUGAAUAAAAUGAGAUGAUAUCUGGGGUUUACUUCUAAGUCAUACAGUAUAUGGGGACAUGGGUUGAAGUGCAUGAAACAGGAUUUUU
Molecule: long non-coding RNA, 2852 nt
Organism: Lutra lutra (Eurasian river otter)
Lineage: Eukaryota; Metazoa; Chordata; Mammalia; Carnivora; Mustelidae
Exons: 3
Source: RefSeq, a predicted model, not a curated record